RNAcentral lists this ribosomal RNA (1372 nucleotides) under uncultured bacterium. Its description in RNAcentral is "bacterial SSU rRNA". It matches the Rfam family "Bacterial small subunit ribosomal RNA", at positions 28 to 1381 of the family's 1533-position model. The record is from RNAcentral.
GAUGAACGCUGGCGGCGUGCCUAAUACAUGCAAGUCGAGCGAACGGACGAGAAGCUUGCUUUUCUGAUGUUAGCGGCGGACGGGUGAGUAACACGUGGAUAACCUACCUAUAAGACUGGGAUAACUUCGGGAAACCGGAGCUAAUACCGGAUAAUAUUUUGAACCGCAUGGUUCAAAAGUGAAAGACGGUCUUGCUGUCACUUAUAGAUGGAUCCGCGCUGCAUUAGCUAGUUGGUAAGGUAACGGCUUACCAAGGCAACGAUGCAUAGCCGACCUGAGAGGGUGAUCGGCCACACUGGAACUGAGACACGGUCCAGACUCCUACGGGAGGCAGCAGUAGGGAAUCUUCCGCAAUGGGCGAAAGCCUGACGGAGCAACGCCGCGUGAGUGAUGAAGGUCUUCGGAUCGUAAAACUCUGUUAUUAGGGAAGAACAUAUGUGUAAGUAACUGUGCACAUCUUGACGGUACCUAAUCAGAAAGCCACGGCUAACUACGUGCCAGCAGCCGCGGUAAUACGUAGGUGGCAAGCGUUAUCCGGAAUUAUUGGGCGUAAAGCGCGCGUAGGCGGUUUUUUAAGUCUGAUGUGAAAGCCCACGGCUCAACCGUGGAGGGUCAUUGGAAACUGGAAAACUUGAGUGCAGAAGAGGAAAGUGGAAUUCCAUGUGUAGCGGUGAAAUGCGCAGAGAUGUGGAGGAACACCAGUGGCGAAGGCGACUUUCUGGUCUGUAACUGACGCUGAUGUGCGAAAGCGUGGGGAUCAAACAGGAUUAGAUACCCUGGUAGUCCACGCCGUAAACGAUGAGUGCUAAGUGUUAGGGGGUUUCCGCCCCUUAGUGCUGCAGCUAACGCAUUAAGCACUCCGCCUGGGGAGUACGACCGCAAGGUUGAAACUCAAAGGAAUUGACGGGGGCCCGCACAAGCGGUGGAGCAUGUGGUUUAAUUCGAAGCAACGCGAAGAACCUUACCAAAUCUUGACAUCCUUUGACAACUCUAGAGAUAGAGCCUUCCCCUUCGGGGGACAAAGUGACAGGUGGUGCAUGGUUGUCGUCAGCUCGUGUCGUGAGAUGUUGGGUUAAGUCCCGCAACGAGCGCAACCCUUAAGCUUAGUUGCCAUCAUUAAGUUGGGCACUCUAAGUUGACUGCCGGUGACAAACCGGAGGAAGGUGGGGAUGACGUCAAAUCAUCAUGCCCCUUAUGAUUUGGGCUACACACGUGCUACAAUGGACAAUACAAAGGGCAGCGAAACCGCGAGGUCAAGCAAAUCCCAUAAAGUUGUUCUCAGUUCGGAUUGUAGUCUGCAGCUCGACUACAUGAAGCUGGAAUCGCUAGUAAUCGUAGAUCAGCAUGCUACGGUGAAUACGUUCCCGGGUCU